RNAcentral lists this long non-coding RNA (2119 nucleotides) under Capsicum annuum. RNAcentral's name for it is "long non-coding RNA (CANN_LNC018359)". The record is from RNAcentral. Lineage: Eukaryota; Viridiplantae; Streptophyta; Magnoliopsida; Solanales; Solanaceae.
ACCAAAAUAUACAUAACAGUAGCAUAAAUUAAGUACAAACAAAUGUGUUUUAGAAACUUAAACAUAAAAAAUCUAACAAUUACAGCAAAGAAAACAUUAAGAUAUCAAAUUUCAGCAUUAAAGUGACAUAUGAAACCUAAGAAAUAUUCAAUUAAAUUGUAGUCUACCUAAAGUUCACUAUUAUAAAAUACAACAAAUUCAAAAUAAUCUUCAAAUAUCAUGCACUUCAAUAUCUUCUGUUAUUCCGAUAUUUUUAGGAGGCCUCAUUGAUGCUUCAUCAUCACUUUGUGCCUUCUCUUCUUCUUUCCUCGAACCAUAAUGCCACAAAAUUAAAGCAUAUCUCGUGCGAAGAAGAUUUAGAUCAAAGUCAACAGUUGAAAUACCAUCAAAAGUUGGAACAUAUACAUGCAUUACCCUUGCCAUGUAUAUUUUGAUCACGCAAUACCUAUACAACACAAAAAUACAAUUAUAUGUCUAACAGUGCAACAUAUGUAUUUAAGAAAAUACAUCUUAAAAGUUUAUUAAUAUCUUAAAGUAACAUCACUUCUCCAUAUCUUAGUUAUCAAACAUCAAUAUACAAACAUUGUCAUUUACUCUUAAUAAACAUAUACACAAUAUACAAACAUUGUCAUUUACUCUUAAUAAACAUAUACAACUGAGCAAAAAAUACAAAUAUUAACAGUACAAAUAAGAAAAUACAUAUCUAAUAGAUAAUAAAUACAUUUCAUAUGAUUCCAGACAAACAAAUUACAUAUGUAUUUUAUUUAUACAUAAUUUGUCCAAAUCUCAUACUUAUCAAUAAAAAAAAGAACAUAUCAUAGUCAAAAACAUAUCUUAUCAGUAAACAAAACAGAUACAUAUCUAACCUGUACCAUGUGUAACAUUUACAUGUCAAAAUAGUGGUACUUAUGUAUUUACAAUAUACAUAUUAUAUUUACAUUGAAACACAUAUAUGUAUUUCAUGAAUACACAAAUGAUAUAAAUUUAACUUACAAGAAAAAUAUACAACUGAACAUCAAUUACAAACCUUAUCAGUAACAAAUACAAAUAUCUUACACAUACAAAUCGAAAAUUUUAUAUAUAACAGAUGCAUAUCAACAAAUUAGCAACAAAACUAAAAAAAUAAACACCUUAUAAAAUGUAUAUAUCAAAUACAUAUAUGAACAUGUUGUCCAGAAACUAUAAAACUUUACACAUAUCAAAAUACCUCCUUCACUUUCUCUUCUUCAAAUUCAAAAUCAGAUGAAACAGGACUUGCAAUUUUACUAGAUUCCGCUUUUUUAUCUGACUUUUUUUUUCACCGAUUUUUGAAUUUUUAUGAAUUUUGGGGAUGAAGAUUUUGUCAAUGCUUUUUGUUUCCUGAUUUUCACAGUCUUUACUGGAUCGCUAUGCUGCUUCGAUCUCAGCUCUUCAAUGCUAGUAGAACACAAGUUAACGUCUUCAUCUUGUGUUAAACCAAGAUUAAAUGAUGAAACUUCAUCGAAAACUAAAUUAAUAGGUUGAAUAUCUCUAACUGAACUACUACUAUUUGCAUAUUCUUCCAUUACAACAGAAAUUCAAAAAAUACAACACGAAAAAAAAAAUUCAAAAAAUCACAUAAUCUUCAUGUAAAUUUCAGAUCCAACAUAAAAAGAGAAAGAAAUAAUUUUGUGUAGGUAAAAGAAAAAUAAAAUCUUGGGAUCUGAAUAAACUACUACAACUUCUUCACUCUGUCAUUUCAUCUUAUUGUUGAGUAAAAUCUACUGUUUUAUUUACAGUAAAAAGUUAAGCUUUUUGAAAAAUCAAAGAUAAAAAAGACUACCAUAUAUAAUUUUGACAGUGUUUACGAAAGAUUAUAAGAUUUAGAAAGAGAAAGAGGAAAAAAGAGGUGGGUGAAAGAGUUAACCAAACCUUUUUCUGUGCUCUUUUGGAUGUAAAAUCACAUAUGAAAGUUCAAGAAAAAUGGCGACAAGUACAGAAAAGAAAAAUCAAACAGACCAAUUCACAGAAGAAAAUUGAAAAAACUGACGACUAAAAAACACAUAAAAAAAUUUAUAUGGAAAAUAUAACAUGCAUUAAUUCUAAAAAUAAGCUUACCUUAAUAGAUGGAGAGAGUGUUUAUCAAGAUCUUGAAGAAAAA